Molecule: non-coding RNA, 21 nt
Filed under: Caenorhabditis elegans
Lineage: Eukaryota; Metazoa; Nematoda; Chromadorea; Rhabditida; Rhabditidae
Source: RNAcentral
UAACAGAAGACUUGAAAAAGG